Molecule: ribosomal RNA, 253 nt
Filed under: uncultured bacterium
Lineage: Bacteria
Description: partial 16S ribosomal RNA
Rfam family: Bacterial small subunit ribosomal RNA
Source: RNAcentral
UACGAAGGGGGCUAGCGUUGUUCGGAAUCACUGGGCGUAAAGGGCGCGUAGGCGGCCGAUCAAGUCGGGGGUGAAAGCCUGUGGCUCAACCACAGAAUUGCCUUCGAUACUGUUUGGCUUGAGACCGGAAGAGGUUAGUGGAACUGCGAGUGUAGAGGUGAAAUUCGUAGAUAUUCGCAAGAACACCAGUGGCGAAGGCGGCUGACUGGUCCGGUUCUGACUCUGAGGCGCGAAAUCGUGGGGAGCAAACAGG